Molecule: ribosomal RNA, 62 nt
Filed under: Tricholoma terreum
Lineage: Eukaryota; Fungi; Basidiomycota; Agaricomycetes; Agaricales; Tricholomataceae
Description: partial 18S ribosomal RNA
Rfam family: Eukaryotic small subunit ribosomal RNA
Source: RNAcentral
UCGACGAUUGGAAGUAAAAGUCGUAAAAGGUUUCCGUAGGUGAACCUGCGGAAGGAUCAUUA